Molecule: ribosomal RNA, 245 nt
Filed under: uncultured bacterium
Lineage: Bacteria
Description: partial 16S ribosomal RNA
Rfam family: Bacterial small subunit ribosomal RNA
Source: RNAcentral
GUAACACGUAAGCAACCUGCCUGUCAGAGGGGAACAACAGUUAGAAAUGACUGCUAAUACCGCAUAAGACCACAGCACCGCAUGGUGCAGGGGUAAAAACUCCGGUGGUACAGGAUGGACCCGCGUCUGAUUAGCUGGUUGGUGAGGUAACAGCUCACCAAGGCGACGAUCAGUAGCCGGCUUGAGAGAGUGAACGGCCACAUUGGGACUGAGACACGGCCCAAACUCCUACGGGAGGCAGCAUG